Molecule: ribosomal RNA, 253 nt
Filed under: uncultured bacterium
Lineage: Bacteria
Description: partial 16S ribosomal RNA
Rfam family: Bacterial small subunit ribosomal RNA
Source: RNAcentral
UACGAAGGGGGCUAGCGUUGCUCGGAAUCACUGGGCGUAAAGGGUGCGUAGGCGGGUCUUUAAGUCAGGGGUGAAAUCCUGGAGCUCAACUCCAGAACUGCCUUUGAUACUGAGGAUCUUGAGUUCGGGAGAGGUGAGUGGAGCUGCGAGUGUAGAGGUGAAAUUCGUAGAUAUUCGCAAGAACACCAGUGGCGAAGGCGGCUCACUGGCCCGGUACUGACGCUGAGGUGCGAAAGCGUGGGGAGCAAACAGG